AGUGAACGCUGGCGGUAGGCCUAACACAUGCAAGUCGAACGGGAGCACAGAGGAGCUUGCUCCUUGGGUGGCGAGUGGCGGACGGGUGAGGAAUACAUCGGAAUCUACUCUGUCGUGGGGGAUAACGUAGGGAAACUUACGCUAAUACCGCAUACGACCUACGGGUGAAAGCAGGGGACCUUCGGGCCUUGCGCGAUUGAAUGAGCCGAUGUCGGAUUAGCUAGUUGGCGGGGUAAAGGCCCACCAAGGCGACGAUCCGUAGCUGGUCUGAGAGGAUGAGCAGCCACACUGGGACUGAGACACGGUCCAGACUCCUACGGGAGGCAGCAGUGGGGAAUAUUGGACAAUGGGCGCAAGCCUGAUCCAGCCAUACCGCGUGGGUGAAGAAGGCCUUCGGGUUGUAAAGCCCUUUUGUUGGGAAAGAAAUCCAGCUGGCUAAUACCCGGUUGGGAUGACGGUACCCAAAGAAUAAGCACCGGCUAACUUCGUGCCAGCAGCCGCAGUAA
RNAcentral lists this ribosomal RNA (506 nucleotides) under uncultured bacterium. RNAcentral describes it as "partial 16S ribosomal RNA". It matches the Rfam family "Bacterial small subunit ribosomal RNA", at positions 29 to 523 of the family's 1533-position model. The record is from RNAcentral.